This 253-nucleotide ribosomal RNA is filed under the name uncultured bacterium. RNAcentral's name for it is "partial 16S ribosomal RNA". It matches the Rfam family "Bacterial small subunit ribosomal RNA", at positions 524 to 776 of the family's 1533-position model. The record is from RNAcentral.
UACGGGGGGGGCAAGCGUUGUUCGGAAUUACUGGGCGUAAAGGGCUCGUAGGCGGCCAACUAAGUCAGACGUGAAAUCCCUCGGCUUAACCGGGGAACUGCAUCUGAUACUGGAUGGCUUGAGUUUGGGAGAGGGAUGCGGAAUUCCAGGUGUAGCGGUGAAAUGCGUAGAUAUCUGGAGGAACACCGGUGGCGAAGGCGGCAUCCUGGACCAACACUGACGCUGAGGAGCGAAAGCCAGGAGAGCAAACGGG